Molecule: transfer RNA, 68 nt
Filed under: Ictidomys tridecemlineatus (thirteen-lined ground squirrel)
Lineage: Eukaryota; Metazoa; Chordata; Mammalia; Rodentia; Sciuridae
Description: Spermophilus tridecemlineatus (thirteen-lined ground squirrel) tRNA
Rfam family: tRNA
About the family: Transfer RNA (tRNA) molecules are approximately 80 nucleotides in length. Their secondary structure includes four short double-helical elements and three loops (D, anti-codon, and T loops).
Source: Rfam by way of RNAcentral
GGGGUUGUGGCUCAGCGGUAGAGCGCUGGUCUCUAACAUCAAGGUCCUGGGUUCGAUCCUUAGCACCA